This 632-nucleotide long non-coding RNA is filed under the name Homo sapiens (human). Its description in RNAcentral is "non-protein coding lnc-NDC80-1:2". The record is from RNAcentral. Lineage: Eukaryota; Metazoa; Chordata; Mammalia; Primates; Hominidae.
CUUGCUCAUCCCUUACUUAGGCUACAUUUUCAAAAGUCAGAAAAAACUUUUUCCUGAAGAAGGGGUUUCUGAGACAAGACCCCUAUUUGUGACCAAUUGUAAGAUCAUCUGAAGAUCGAGUCCGAUUGCCUGGCCAGGCCGGGCUGGGUGGUAUGUGCCCCCGUCACGCCGGAGGUUCCUGCUUUAGCGACGCCAAAGAUUGGGUGUGAGGGCAGCCCGCGGUGACAGAGACACGGAUCGGACCGAGAGAAAAAGGCUGUGGGCUUCACUGAGCAGAGUGACGAAUUUCAACCCUUCUUGCUACAUUCAAGACAUAGAAAUCCAGCCAGAAGACAACUCGAGAUAUUUUGUGGAUCUAUGCCUUUCCUUCAGAAAAGCAAAUAUCUACCAUAAAAAAACACUGGUCCAAUAUUCACUUCUAUAAGAAAUGCAGGGGCAAAUAAAUUAUGGAUUUUAUUAUCGCUAAUAGAGUCACUUAACCAUUACUCCUUACUACAUUCUGCUUUUCUAACAAAAUUUCGACUGAAUAUUCUCCCUCAGAGCCUCCAAAAGGAACCAACUGAUGACAACUGAUUUUGGACUUCUGGCCUCCUGAACUAUAACAAAAUAAACAUCUGUUGUUUUAAGCAAGC